RNAcentral lists this ribosomal RNA (1852 nucleotides) under Salmonella enterica. RNAcentral describes it as "partial 23S ribosomal RNA". It matches the Rfam family "Bacterial large subunit ribosomal RNA", at positions 1184 to 2925 of the family's 2925-position model. The record is from RNAcentral. Lineage: Bacteria; Pseudomonadati; Pseudomonadota; Gammaproteobacteria; Enterobacterales; Enterobacteriaceae.
AAACCAUGCACCGAAGCUGCGGCAGCGAACGUAUCACCCAAGACAACUUUACGGAGUUGACGAUUGACGGAGCGAAGCGACGUCAAAGCGUUCAUUAAAGUCGAGUUGGCUUAGGGAUACGUUCGUUGGGUAGGGGAGCGUUCUGUAAGCCUGUGAAGGUGUGUCGUGAGGCAUGCUGGAGGUAUCAGAAGUGCGAAUGCUGACAUAAGUAACGAUAAAGCGGGUGAAAAGCCCGCUCGCCGGAAGACCAAGGGUUCCUGUCCAACGUUAAUCGGGGCAGGGUGAGUCGACCCCUAAGGCGAGGCCGAAAGGCGUAGUCGAUGGGAAACGGGUUAAUAUUCCCGUACUUGGUGUUACUGCGAAGGGGGGACGGAGAAGGCUAUGUUGGCCGGGCGACGGUUGUCCCGGUUUAAGCGUGUAGGUGUGUGUUCCAGGUAAAUCCGGUUCACUUUAACACUGAGGCGUGACGACGAGGCACUACGGUGCUGAAGCAACAAAUGCCCUGCUUCCAGGAAAAGCCUCUAAGCAUCAGGUAACACGAAAUCGUACCCCAAACCGACACAGGUGGUCAGGUAGAGAAUACCAAGGCGCUUGAGAGAACUCGGGUGAAGGAACUAGGCAAAAUGGUGCCGUAACUUCGGGAGAAGGCACGCUGACACGUAGGUGAAGUGAUUUACUCAUGGAGCUGAAGUCAGUCGAAGAUACCAGCUGGCUGCAACUGUUUAUUAAAAACACAGCACUGUGCAAACACGAAAGUGGACGUAUACGGUGUGACGCCUGCCCGGUGCCGGAAGGUUAAUUGAUGGGGUCAGCGUAAGCGAAGCUCCUGAUCGAAGCCCCGGUAAACGGCGGCCGUAACUAUAACGGUCCUAAGGUAGCGAAAUUCCUUGUCGGGUAAGUUCCGACCUGCACGAAUGGCGUAAUGAUGGCCAGGCUGUCUCCACCCGAGACUCAGUGAAAUUGAACUCGCUGUGAAGAUGCAGUGUACCCGCGGCAAGACGGAAAGACCCCGUGAACCUUUACUAUAGCUUGACACUGAACAUUGAGCCUUGAUGUGUAGGAUAGGUGGGAGGCUUUGAAGUGUGGACGCCAGUCUGCAUGGAGCCGACCUUGAAAUACCACCCUUUAAUGUUUGAUGUUCUAACGUGGACCCGUAAUCCGGGUUGCGGACAGUGUCUGGUGGGUAGUUUGACUGGGGCGGUCUCCUCCUAAAGAGUAACGGAGGAGCACGAAGGUUGGCUAAUCCUGGUCGGACAUCAGGAGGUUAGUGCAAUGGCAUAAGCCAGCUUGACUGCGAGCGUGACGGCGCGAGCAGGUGCGAAAGCAGGUCAUAGUGAUCCGGUGGUUCUGAAUGGAAGGGCCAUCGCUCAACGGAUAAAAGGUACUCCGGGGAUAACAGGCUGAUACCGCCCAAGAGUUCAUAUCGACGGCGGUGUUUGGCACCUCGAUGUCGGCUCAUCACAUCCUGGGGCUGAAGUAGGUCCCAAGGGUAUGGCUGUUCGCCAUUUAAAGUGGUACGCGAGCUGGGUUUAGAACGUCGUGAGACAGUUCGGUCCCUAUCUGCCGUGGGCGCUGGAGAACUGAGGGGGGCUGCUCCUAGUACGAGAGGACCGGAGUGGACGCAUCACUGGUGUUCGGGUUGUCAUGCCAAUGGCACUGCCCGGUAGCUAAAUGCGGAAGAGAUAAGUGCUGAAAGCAUCUAAGCACGAAACUUGCCCCGAGAUGAGUUCUCCCUGAGACUUAGAGUCUCCUGAAGGAACGUUGAAGACGACGACGUUGAUAGGCCGGGUGUGUAAGCGCAGCGAUGCGUUGAGCUAACCGGUACUAAUGAACCGUGAGGCUUAACCUUACA